This 838-nucleotide ribosomal RNA is filed under the name uncultured Methanotrichaceae archaeon. RNAcentral's name for it is "bacterial SSU rRNA". It matches the Rfam family "Archaeal small subunit ribosomal RNA", at positions 9 to 848 of the family's 1478-position model. The record is from RNAcentral. Lineage: Archaea; Methanobacteriati; Methanobacteriota; Methanomicrobia; Methanotrichales; Methanotrichaceae.
UGAUCCUGCCGGAGGUUACUGCUAUCGAGAUUCGACUAAGCCAUGCGAGUUGAAUGUUCUUCGUGAACAUGGCGGACCGCUCAGUAACACGUGGACAACCUACCCUUCGGUCCGGCAUAAUCCUGGGAAACUGGGGAUAAUUCCGGAUAGGUCACAGAUGCUGGAAUGCUCUGCGGCUUAAAGCUCCGGCGCCGAAGGAUGGGUCUGCGGCCUAUCAGGGUUGUAGUGGGUGUAACGUACCUACUAGCCUACGACGGGUACGGGUUGUGAGAGCAAGAGCCCGGAGAUGGAUUCUGAGACACGAAUCCAGGCCCUACGGGGUGCAGCAGGCGCGAAAGCUUUACAAUGCGGGAAACCGUGAUAAGGGAAUCUCGAGUGCCAGCAUAUAAUGUUGGCUGUCCAAAUGCCUAAAAAGCAUUUGUUAGCAAGGGCCGGGCAAGACCGGUGCCAGCCGCCGCGGUAACACCGGCGGCCCGAGUGGUAACCGUUUUUAUUGGGUCUAAAGGGUCUGUAGCCGGCCAUGUAAGUCCCUUGGGAAAUCUGGCAGCUCAACUGUCAGGCUGCCAGGGGAUACUGCUUGGCUUGGGACCGGGAGAGGUGAGAGGUACUUUGAGGGAGGGGGUGAAAUCUUGUGAUCCUCGGGGGACCACCAGUGGCGAAGGCGUCUCACCAGAACGGGUCCGACGGUAAGGGACGAAAGCUAGGGGCACGAACCGGAUUAGAUACCCGGGUAGUCCUAGCCGUAAACGAUGCUCGCUAGGUGUCAGUCACGGUGCGACCGUGAUUGGUGCCGUAGGGAAGCCGUGAAGCGAGCCACCUGGGAAGUACGGCCGCAAGG